This 109-nucleotide transfer RNA is filed under the name Fusarium fujikuroi. Its description in RNAcentral is "transfer RNA-Trp(CCA)". It matches the Rfam family "tRNA". From Rfam's summary of the family: Transfer RNA (tRNA) molecules are approximately 80 nucleotides in length. Lineage: Eukaryota; Fungi; Ascomycota; Sordariomycetes; Hypocreales; Nectriaceae. The record is from RNAcentral.
GGGGGGCUGGCGCAACGGUAGCGCGUUAGAUUCCAGCGAUGGAUCUUCAAGACGAAGUUGAAGAAAUCGUGACUCCUAAAGGUUAUCAGUUCAAAUCUGGUGUCCCUCA